AAUCAUGAAUUAUAGGACUGAUCUGGAAAUUUUGGUUUAAUUUCACCAAGUCACGAUCGGGUUUUUGACGCGAUAUGUGAAUUAAUUGUUUAACGAGCAAAUUUGAUAUUGAACUGAGCAAAUGAGCUCCAAAUUCAGUUUUGUUUGAACCACUAGAUCCGUAUCGAAAUUAUGGAGUCAUAGGAAAAAGAAUCGUCGAAUUCCGAAUUCGUAUGAUGAAGUUAUUGCAUUUUUAGUGAAUAAAAAGCUGCUGAAAAAUUUCUGGGCAAAAGCUGGUAUUUUCGCUUCUGCGGUGAACAGUACCCGCAGAAGCAGGUGAACAGUGACUUUCCGCUUCUGCGAUGAACAGUGCCGCAGAAGCGAUGAACAGUAACCGCUUAGGCGAAAAUUUCUGGAUUUUUAUUUCCGGGCAGUCCGAGAGUUUUCUCAUUUUUAAAAGCUAGGGAGCUCGGAUUGAGACGAUUUUUGGAGCAAAAUGAAGAGGGUUUCGAUGGGAAUUGAUUGGAGAUUCUACGUGCGAAGAGGCGAAUUCGCGAGGAAAGGGCAAAGCGGAGUAGACUUUGGACUACAUUGAGAUAUAGGUAGAGCUGAUACGGCACCUGAGCGUUGAUUGCAUCCAGUCAGGACUGUGUCGAGGAGUGACGAGGUAGCUGUUGACGUCCGCAGCCCCGUUUUCUCCCUUAUACUUUGUCAUUUCAGUUAUUCCAGACUUGUAAAUAUUUAUAUUCUCUGUAGUAGCUCAUGACUUGUGACACCCCGAUUACGGGCUGAGUCGGGAUGGGUUUUGUUAUACUAUCAUGCCUAAAAUGCUUUUGGAAAUAUAUUACAUGUCGUUUAAGUAUUUGAGUUAUGCAUUUUGAGGUUGGCUUGCCUUGUCUUCACGAGAGGCGCCCUCACGACCAGGGUUGGUAUUUUGGGUCGUGACACACUGUCUCGUCAACGACCUCCUAGCACCACCGGCGACAGUCCGUCGACCACCCCAGUUGCUGCUUCAUCGAGUUGCUGCCCUAGCUGCUCGUUUCUACUCUUGCUUCAUCCAUUUUCGUCUUAACAAACAGUCCAUUUAUCUCCAAGAGUUUAAAUCCGAGUCGAGUUUGAAUUCGUUUCAUUUUUGAA
Non-coding RNA from Nicotiana tabacum (common tobacco), 1116 nucleotides. The record is from RefSeq and is a predicted model, not a curated record. NCBI's taxonomy places the organism in Eukaryota, Viridiplantae, Streptophyta, Magnoliopsida, Solanales, Solanaceae.